AUGCGACUGAAAAACUGCAGCUUCUUGCUCACCGAGGACAUCAGGUUUACCUCCGCUUCCCUAAAGAAAGUGGUUAUCAUCGGCUUCCGUGUGCUGGAAAAUAAUCCUUUCGGGCUGAUUUUGGAGGCUCCUGCCCUUGCUUCACUCCGCCUGACUGGGCAUCAUCGUCACAUUUGCGGUAGUUGGCCACAAGAUUGCAUGCCAUCUCUUGUCGAUGCAUCGAUCCAACUGACUGUGUGGAAUUGGUUCAAUUACAACAACAACGAAGAUAACGACCUGAUUGAGAUGCAAUUGUCUUUGCUCGACGAGCUUUUCAAUGUGAUGAGUUUGCAUUUGUCUCGUUUCGGUGUCAUGGUACGUACACCUAAUUAUUCAGAUUGCAUCUCUUUUGUUUAUAGCCAUUUAACGAUAUUUUUUUAA
This 420-nucleotide ribosomal RNA is filed under the name Triticum aestivum (bread wheat). RNAcentral describes it as "partial small subunit ribosomal RNA". Lineage: Eukaryota; Viridiplantae; Streptophyta; Magnoliopsida; Poales; Poaceae. The record is from RNAcentral.